GCUGGGUGUGGUGGUGCAUGCCUGUGAUCCCAGUGGCUCGGGAGGCUGAGACAGGAGGAUCCCAGGUUCAAAGCCAGCCUCAGCAAAGGUAAGGCACUAAGCAACUCAGUGAGACCCUGUCUUUA
This 125-nucleotide small RNA is filed under the name Marmota monax (woodchuck). The record is from RNAcentral. Lineage: Eukaryota; Metazoa; Chordata; Mammalia; Rodentia; Sciuridae.